AAUCAACGCUGGCGGCGUGCCUAACACAUGCAAGUCGAACGCGAGAGGGCUUCGGCCCUGAUUGAGUGGCAAACGGGUGAGUAACGCGUGGGUGACCUACCUUCGAGUGGGGGAUAACGUUCCGAAAGGGACGCUAAUACCGCAUAACAUCCUGUCUUUGGACAGAUGGAGAUCAAAGCCGGGGAUCGUAAGACCUGGCGCUUGAGGAGGGGCCCGCGUCCGAUUAGCUAGUUGGUGGGGAAUGGCUCACCAAGGCAACGAUCGGUAGCCGGCCUGAGAGGGCGGACGGCCACACUGGGACUGAGACACGGCCAGACUCCUACGGGAGGCAGCAGUGGGAAUUGUUCGCAAUGGGCGCAAGCCUGACGACGCAACGCCGCGUGAAGGAUGAAGGUC
RNAcentral lists this ribosomal RNA (396 nucleotides) under uncultured bacterium. Its description in RNAcentral is "bacterial SSU rRNA". It matches the Rfam family "Bacterial small subunit ribosomal RNA", at positions 29 to 416 of the family's 1533-position model. The record is from RNAcentral.